RNAcentral lists this long non-coding RNA (610 nucleotides) under Heterocephalus glaber (naked mole-rat). RNAcentral's name for it is "lncRNA (ENSHGLG00000046579.1)". Lineage: Eukaryota; Metazoa; Chordata; Mammalia; Rodentia; Bathyergidae. The record is from RNAcentral.
GGAGGUUAAGGGUCAGGGUUGGGGGCUGUGGGCGGGAUACGCUCUCUGGAGCUCCAAGCCCCGCUGGAGAGUGGGGGUCUGGUUCCAGGGGGGCCCGCGAACGCGAACCGGGAUCCGCCCCGGCUGGAGGAGAGGGGCCCGGGGCGGGAGCCCGGCGCGGACUCGGAGCUGGGGUGGCCUCUAGAAGCGCCGACUCUGGUGAACCGAUCUACUGAGGGGGAUGGCGUGGAGCGCGCGCUCGGCGAUCGGCGCCACCUGCGGGUCGGGGAGGGCGAGGCGGCGAUGCCCGGAGGCGCGGGCGCAACAGAACUGUGCCACGAAGUCGUCGUGUCUGGCCCACGUUUGCAUCCCCUACAAAGGCGGCCUGAAAUUGAUGAAAGCGUUCAGUGUCCGUUAAACUCCAGCCUGCAUUAGAAAGAUCUGCAUCAAGCUGAAUGUGUGCUAGGGCCACUUUGGGCUCUGUCUAUGGCCAGAGUUGGAUAAUUGCAACGGAGACACUAUGCGACAGACAAAGGCUAAAGUACAUACCAUCGGAAUCUGUUCAUUUGUUUGUUUAUUUAUUUUUGAGACAGUUUCAGCGUGUAGCCCAGAGUGGCCUCGGACUUGUGGU